RNAcentral lists this ribosomal RNA (486 nucleotides) under uncultured bacterium. Its description in RNAcentral is "bacterial SSU rRNA". It matches the Rfam family "Bacterial small subunit ribosomal RNA", at positions 8 to 526 of the family's 1533-position model. The record is from RNAcentral.
AGGGUUUGAUUAUGGCUCAGAGCGAACGCUGGCGGCAGGCUUAACACAUGCAAGUCGAACGAUAAGCUAAACUUCGAUUUAGUGGACAGUGGCAGACGGGUGAGUAACGCGUGGGAAUCUACCUUUGAGUGGGGAAUAACAAUUAGAAAUGAUUGCUAAUACCGCAUAUACCCUCCGGGGGAAAGGCUUCGGCCGCUCUUAGAUGAGCCCGCGUACGAUUAGUUUGUUGGUGAGGUAAUGGCUCACCAAGACUACGAUCGUUAGCUGGUUUGAGAGGAUGAUCAGCCACACUGGGACUGAGACACGGCCCAGACUCCUACGGGAGGCAGCAGUGGGGAAUAUUGGACAAUGGGCGAAAGCCUGAUCCAGCCAUGCCGCGUGAGUGAAGAAGGCCUUAGGGUUGUAAAACUCUUUCGGCAGGGAAGAUAAUGACGGUACCUGCAUAAGAAGCUCCGGCUAACUCCGUGCCAGCCGCCGCGGUAAUAC